This 638-nucleotide ribosomal RNA is filed under the name Burkholderia sp. Mp287. Its description in RNAcentral is "bacterial SSU rRNA". It matches the Rfam family "Bacterial small subunit ribosomal RNA", at positions 90 to 722 of the family's 1533-position model. Lineage: Bacteria; Pseudomonadati; Pseudomonadota; Betaproteobacteria; Burkholderiales; Burkholderiaceae. The record is from RNAcentral.
GGCGAGUGGCGAACGGGUGAGUAAUACAUCGGAACGUGUCCUGGAGUGGGGGAUAGCCCGGCGAAAGCCGGAUUAAUACCGCAUACGCUCUGUGGAGGAAAGCGGGGGAUCUUUCGGGACCUCGCGCUCAAGGGGCGGCCGAUGGCAGAUUAGGUAGUUGGUGGGGUAAAGGCCUACCAAGCCGACGAUCUGUAGCUGGUCUGAGAGGACGACCAGCCACACUGGGACUGAGACACGGCCCAGACUCCUACGGGAGGCAGCAGUGGGGAAUUUUGGACAAUGGGCGCAAGCCUGAUCCAGCAAUGCCGCGUGUGUGAAGAAGGCCUUCGGGUUGUAAAGCACUUUUGUCCGGAAAGAAAACCUCUGGGUUAAUACCCCGGGGGGAUGACGGUACCGGAAGAAUAAGCACCGGCUAACUACGUGCCAGCAGCCGCGGUAAUACGUAGGGUGCGAGCGUUAAUCGGAAUUACUGGGCGUAAAGCGUGCGCAGGCGGUGAUGUAAGACCGAUGUGAAAUCCCCGGGCUUAACCUGGGAACUGCAUUGGUGACUGCAUCGCUCGAGUAUGGCAGAGGGGGGUAGAAUUCCACGUGUAGCAGUGAAAUGCGUAGAGAUGUGGAGGAAUACCGAUGGCGAAGGC